UAAUGGGGAGGGGCCAUCGCGCAGCCAGAUUGACGACAACUAAUUUCUAUUCUGUCUACAAAAUGGCCUUUUUGCAGUGGAGGAGGUUUAAUUUCUUUGAGAAGGAUGUUGUGAAGUACCCUGACAGCACAGAGAUCUUUGCAAAGCUGAAGGACAUUGACAUCACGACAUGUGCAAGUGGGCGUGGCCAGGUUACCCUGGGUGACUCGGAAGGCAACCUGCUGUUCUUGGACCGGAACCUGGAUCUGGAUGGUUUUAAGGCUUAUGAACUGAGAGUGACCCAUAUCCACCAACUCAAGCAACAUAAUAUCAUCUUCACUAUAGGGCAAGAUGAAGCUGGGAUCAACCCUGUCAUUAAAGUCUGGAAUCUAGACAAGCGUGAUAAGUCCAACAACCCAUCAUGUAGCAGGAUAACUCGAGCUUUGCCGGGCAGCAACGUAACGGCCAACGUGACGGCUAUAGCAGUCAGCGAGAAUCUGAACAUGAUGGCUAUCGGCUUUCAAGAUGGGACUGUGACACUCUUCAAGGGUGAUGUGACCAGGGAUAGACACAGCAAGUCGCCAAAGGUUGUUCAUAAGGGUCGUACCCAGGUGACCGGUUUGGCUUUCAGGCACACUCAACGCAGUAACGUUCUCUUCGUCUCAACGGAAGAUGCCGUCAUUGCUUGUCACAUUGGCACCAAGGAUGUUCGUACAGAAACUUUGGAUCACCAUGGUUGUUCAUCUCAUUGUGCUGUCAUGAGUGAUGCGACUCAAGACCAUCAGUUUGUUAUUGGUAGAAAUGAUGCUGUGUACUUCUACCAGCCCGAUGGGCGUGGCCCUUGCCUUGCCUUUGAGGGGCGUAAGACCAUACUCCAUUGGUUCAGGGGAUAUCUGGUGGUGGUAACGAAGGAUAGUAAGACAAUACCAAGACAAAUCGCUGGAGAGGGCCUUGCAAGGAUGAUGGACACAGUGACUGUCUAUGACAUCCAGAACAAAUUCAUAGCAUAUUCUGCACCCGUCCCGGAAGUACUGGACAUCAUCCAGGAGUGGGGCUCCCUCUAUGUUCUCGGAGGAGACAGGAAACUGUAUCAACUCCAAGAGAAAGACACUCAAACUAAACUGGAGAUGCUGUUUAAGAAGAACCUGUAUGUCAUGGCCAUCAAUCUUGCCAGGAGUCAGCAUUAUGACUAUGAUGGUUUGAUUGAUAUAUUCACCCAAUAUGGAGAUCAUUUGUACAGCAAGGGGGACCAUGAUGGGGCCAUAGCACAGUACAAGAAGACCAUCGGUAGAUUGGAACCUUCGUACGUCAUCAGAAAGUUCCUUGAUGCUCAGCGGAUUCACAACCUGACUGCCUAUCUUCAAGAGCUUCACAAGCAGUCUAUAGCAAAUGAAGAUCACACAACUCUCCUGCUCAAUUGCUACACCAAACUCAAAGAUACCAAUAAGCUUGAUGAAUUCAUCAUGACAAAGGAUAAAGAUGUUGACUUUGACGUGGAGACAGCUAUGAAGGUAUGUAGGCAAGCUGGGUACUUCAAGCAUGCCCUUUUCCUGGCCGAGAAGCACAAGCAGCAUGACUGGUAUCUCAAGGUACAACUGGAAGACAUCAAAGAUUACCAGAAGGCUCUGAAUUACAUCAGCACACUAGAGUUCUAUGAGGCAAUGGAUAACAUCAAGAAGUAUGGGAAGAUCCUGAUGACUGAGGUACCCAAAGAAGCCACUGAUUUCCUCAAGGUCUUGUGCACAGACUACAAACCAGCAGACAGGCCCCUAGUGGACCCCUCCACUCUGUCAGGGGGGAUGCCGCCUCCCAUCCAGAGGGCUUCUGUCGAGGAGUUCAUCCACAUCUUUGUCAACAACUCGGCACAGCUCAUGGAAUUCCUGGAGCAUAUGAUCAAGGUCCAGACAGAGUCUUCCAGUCAGAUCUACAACACUCUCCUGGAGCUCUAUCUCCACGACAUGGCCCACGAAACAGAAAAGCGCCCUCGUUUGGAGCUUGAGAAGAAGGCCAUGGCUUUGCUGCAGGCAGGAGAAACCAGAUACGACAUAGACCAGGCUCUUGUACUUUGUCAGAUGCACAGUUUCCAGAAGGGUAUUCUUUAUCUCUAUGAAAAGGCUCAACUCUAUCAACAGAUACUCCAUUUCUAUAUGGAACAUGACAGCUAUGAUAAGAUUAUUCAGACUUGCAAAUCCUAUGGGAACAAAGAUCCUAACCUGUGGGUACAGGCCCUUUCCUAUUUUGCUGCCAAGGAAGAGAACUGCAAGCCGUUCAUCGUUGAAGUCCUCUCCCAGAUUGACCGAAGGAAUCUGCUGCCCCCUCUCUUGGUCAUCCAGACGCUUGCCCACAAUUCCACAGCUACGCUGUCAGUCAUCAAAGAUUAUAUUGUGAGAAGACUGCAGCAGGAGAACGAUCAGAUUGCCGAUGACGAGAGAUUGAUCAAACAAUACAGAGAAGAGACCAAGAAGAUGAAGAGCCAGAUUGAAGAAAUGAAAACAAGUGCUAAGAUGUUUCAGGUGUCUAAGUGUAGUGUGUGCAAUCAUCCGUUGGAGUUGCCCUCGGUUCAUUUCCUCUGUCAACAUUCCUACCAUCAACAUUGUUUUGAGAGUUAUGCUGAGAAUGAGCAGGAGUGUCCUGCUUGUCUGCCGGAGAAUCGCAAAGUACUUGACAUCAUUAAGGCCCAGGAGCAGAGUAAAGACCUUCAUGAACAGUUCCAUCGACAGCUGGAAAAGUCCCAAGAUGGAUUCUCAGUUGUAGCAGAUUAUUUCGGCAGAGGAGUUUUCAAUAAGUUGAUAGUGUCGUCUGCCUCAAUUGCCGACCACUCUCUGAACGAUUCUCAGACACCCUCCUCUCACCUCGACAACCUUUCCUUCUAAAAGCAUGAAACCAAAUGGUUGCCUGCUGUUUGCAUUUUGUCUUUAGUCUUUAGCAUUUUUGUCACCCUCCUCACAGACUCCUUUAGUCCUGCUAAAACGACAACCUCAAAUCAAAGGUCACAACCAAGCCAGCCAGCAAGACCACCAGCCCAACCAGCCCAGCCAAUCAGGUCUGCAGCAACGCAAGCCCGACCAACCCCUAGUGCAAUUUCCAGUGCCCCUAGACCACAGGGAGGUAUACCUACCCAACAACCGGCCAAGACCCAGCUUUCCAGGCCCCCGACCUCAUCCACGCCAAGCUCCCGCCAACAGGCUCCCCCGCAGAGACCCGCCACGCCCCCAACAAAAAGAACCCCGCCCCCUUCCCAACAGGCUCCACCAACGAGGUCCGUGCCACCUCCAACGCAAGCCAUGGCAAGCAAGCCCAUCAGGCCUGCCGAUCCCCCGAAGAGGGUACAAACCCCGCCCCAGCAGAGCCAAGCCCGCAGCACCCCGCCCGCCAAAGAAUACAACCCGUUUGACGAACCCGAUGAACCGGUGAAAUCUACAUCCCAGCAAGGGCGGAGUACAGCUCUCCCGGCUGCCAUGAUGAGGCGGGGACAGGCGGGCGGUAAAGGUUCGGGCCAGUCAUCCCCUGCAGAGUACAAUCCAUUUACCCAUCCAGAUGGCCAACUGAGCAGGGGUUCACCAUCUUCCACCGGAGGACAGCAAGCUGCUCCCCGCAGGGCACCCACCCCUCCUAAUCCAUUUGAUGAUGAACCUAGCUCGACUGGAAAGAAUCCAUUUGAAGAUGAUAUGAUACAUGACGAGGACAAGAAUAAUCCUUUCUUUAACUGAAAUUCUUCAAAUGGCACCAGUACAAAAUGGAAAUGAACUCAUAGACAUUGCCAGUUGCUCAAUAUUGCAUUUAUCAUUGAGAUUAUGCUUGAGCUUGAUCUUGUUAUAUUUUACUGUAAUUUUUACCUUACUUGAGAUGAGAAUAAACACUGACUGUUGUAUGGUAUUGGUUAAUCGUACGCCAUAAUAAUGUUUAUAAUUAUGUUCAGGUAUUUGUUAAUUAAUUAUGUUGAUAUUAUCGAUAUUUCAGCAAUUGGUCUCUGGUCAUAGCGUUUAUUAGAUACACAUGACAUUCCUUUAUUUGCCUGGAAUUACUUGUUUAUUUAUCAACUCUAGCUGUACAUGUAUUUUUGUUUGGUUAUUGCUUCAAGCUGUAAUGAUAGACCAGUCCGUAGUUACUUCAUGGACAAUUUUGGUCAAAUGACCUUUCAUUUCUUUCAUUAUGAUAGGCAGAUUUCAAAGCAAGAUAUUACAUAAGCUUGCCUUACAUAGCAGGAUGAAGAAAUUGAAUAGACCAGGUGACUAGAAUAGCACACAAAUGAACACUUUAUGAAGGUAUUCGUUGCAUUCCUACUUUGAAUGCAUAUCAUAGCAUGUUGCACAAUGUACUUGGCAAACUGUGAAAUACCAGUGUUCGUGGACUCAAUGUUGCUCUUUGUGGAUGUGAAUGAAAACCACAAUUCAAAAGAAUAUAUGAAUAAACAAGACAUCCAGGUUGGUGCUUAUCUCAUUAGAUUUUAAACCACCAUGUCACUUUAGUACAAAUGACCUUCCUCUGAUCAUGCGUAGAAUCGUUUGAUCAUGCGCAGAAAGGAACUACGAACUGGCUUAUUGCUAUAUUCUAUCAUAAAUUUGAAAAAUAUUGUAUUCUAACACUCACCAGUGUGUUUGCAGUAAGUACCAAGUAGGAGAUUGGUCUGAUUCUGCACAUAUUGUAGAUAAUCAUAUUGAAUGCACUUUCUAUUUCUUUAACAGAUACAUUGUAUCUAUAAAUAGUCCAAAAUGCAAAUUCUUCUUCAGAUUUUCAACUACCAGUUCUAUCGAUUUUUGUUUUGGAUGAGACAUUCCUCAGCUUUGCUUGCAGGUUUUUUUAUACGCCUGUCCAAGACGGGACGUAUUCUGGUAUCACGCUCGUUGUCUUGUCCGUCUGUCUGUCCGUCUGUUAACUUUUCCUUUAAAUGCGAUAACUUCACUGUGACUUAACCUAGGCUCAUAUAAUUUGGUGUGUAUGAUACUAGCAUGGAUCCCAGGAAGCCUAUUGAUUUUAUGGUCAAAAGGUCAAAGGUAAAGGUCACAGUGACAUGUUUUCAUCUUAGCCUUCUGCAGUCCUGGUAAACGUGAUAAGUUCAGUUUGACUUAACCUAGGCUCGUAUAAUUUGAUGUGUAUGAUACUAGCAUGGAUCCCAGGAAGCCUAUUGAUGUUGAGGUCAAGAUCAAAGGUCAAGGUCACAGUGACAUGUUUUCAUCUUAGCCUUCUGCAGUCCUUGUAAAUGCAAUAACUUCAGUUUAACUUAACCUAGGCUCAUGUAAUUUGGUGUGUAUGAUACUAGCAUGGAUCCCAGGAAGCCUAUUGAUUUUGAGGUCAAAAGGUCAAAGGUCACAGUGACAUGCUUUCAUUUUACCCUUCUGAAGUCCUUGUACACUCGAUAACUCAAAUAAGUUGGUGUGUUUGAUACUAGCAUGGGUGAAAGUAUUCCAGUUUCUCCUAUAAUGGUUUUUUCGCACCUAUCAAACAGAAUGCCAGUAGCUCCUAUGUAGGUUAGACUCUACAACUGAAGAAGCAUUAUACAUCAUCAAUUGUGCAAUGAAAUAUAUGUAUAUUCAAAGAUACAAUCUUUGAGAAAGUGUCAGUGUACAAGAUUGCACUUUUGCAGCUGUAAAAUAUUCUGUACUCUUAAGGUGCAAUUCUGGGGGCAAACAAGUAUAAAAGGGUUCCCAAUGAUCAAAUCAUAAUUGUGUUUUAUUUUCCCUGGCUAACCACUUCAGUUAUAAGACUGCUCUACUAGCAAACCCUUUAUAACAUGUAAUUAUGACACUUCUUCAAUCUGAAUACUAAGUUCCAAGCAAGAUAGCAGAAUGUUCUCCUUUGCUAAGUUCUUGGAAGGACUCGGCUGUAGAUUGAACCCAUGACCUCCUGUUCAAGAGGCAGAUGCUCUACCACCGAGCCACCAGGCUAGGCUUGCAUAUAAAACCUAAGAUAUGUGCAUAAUUCAUUAGAUUUUUGUUUAAAAAUUUCAUUUUUGCAUAAUAGCGCAUUAAUUUCAAAAGGCACAGGUGACGCCAAACAAAUAAUAAUAAUAAUAAAAUAAUUUUAUGUCAUGAAUCCAACAACAUACAUUCUUGUAUUUUAUAUGAUGAGCUACAUGCAUACUAUGUUUAGAUGAAUUGAAGAAAUAAGUGAACAAAAUUGUAGACACCCCCUUCCCCCACCAUAUUUUGGGGAUUGAAAUUGCCCAUUCUUUUUUAGCACUAAAAGCAGUGUUAUAUAAUGGACUAUAAACUAAUAAUCUAUAAAUGCGAAGAAAUUUCAUUAAAUUCUAUUUUUCCUCAAACUUUCUUACAAAUCUUAAUUCAUAUUUUGCAGUGAAACGUAAUCAUUGAUGCACAUAUGGCAUAUGUAGCACUUAUAUACUGAUUUUCCCCCCAAUUUUUUUCCAACAAUAAGGAUAUUAAGAAUAUGUGACCUAAAAUCUGUUUUUCAAUGACCAUAAUUUUGUUUACAUUGUUAUAUAAUGUAUUUAAGUACAUGUAUUCCAUUUAUAACACAGAAACAAUCUUUAUCAAGAUACACUGUUGUGUUUUUCAGUUAAAGAUAUAUUAAUAUUGCAUCUUGCCUUUAUUAUAAGAUUAGAACCAGAGAUAUUUCUCUUUAGUUUGGGUCAGUGUUUUUUUAAUUUUUAUAAAACCUAUGCUUAUCUUCAUUUCCUAUUAUGGAAGUAAAUAGCAGAGUUGGAAAGUUAUUGUUGAUUUUUAUAUGUUUAAAAAGAAUAUUAAUACUCAUUUAUUUGGCAUUUGUUGAUAUUGUCACAGAGGAGAAUAUAAUGUACAAAGUACAAUAAUGUACAAAAGGUGAAUGCAUGUAAAAUUGUAAAGAAAUUGAUCAUGAAUAUAGUUGAAUUAAAUAUAAUUAGAGACUUUA
RNA transcript from Lytechinus pictus (painted urchin), 6828 nucleotides. It is a transcript of the gene named vacuolar protein sorting-associated protein 11 homolog, with no coding region annotated. The transcript is spliced from 27 exons. NCBI's taxonomy places the organism in Eukaryota, Metazoa, Echinodermata, Echinoidea, Temnopleuroida, Toxopneustidae. The record is from RefSeq and is a predicted model, not a curated record.